CAAGGCUGGAACUCAGAAAAAUGUUUUAUGACAAGCUGUGGAAUUUUAAGUUCUAGUAAUCUCCAGUGCUAUUGUUUCUCUAGGUUUCGGUGGACCGGGUCUUAAAGACCCUGAAAGAAAAUGCUAAUAAAGCCAAAAGCUUACUGCUCACUACCAUACCUCAGAUAGGGUCCACAGAAUGGUCAGAAACCCUCCAUAACCUGAAGAAUAUGGCCCAGUUUUCUGUUUUAUUACCAAGACAUUAAAGUAGCAUGGCUGCCCAGGAGAAAAGAAGACAUUCUAAUUCCAGUCAUUUUGGGAAUUCCUGCUUAACUUGAAAAAAA
RNAcentral lists this small RNA (323 nucleotides) under Pongo abelii (Sumatran orangutan). RNAcentral describes it as "retained intron". The record is from RNAcentral. Lineage: Eukaryota; Metazoa; Chordata; Mammalia; Primates; Hominidae.